Morone saxatilis (striped sea-bass) is the source of this 246-nucleotide long non-coding RNA. RefSeq lists it as uncharacterized. Lineage: Eukaryota; Metazoa; Chordata; Actinopteri; Moronidae. The transcript has 2 exons. The record is from RefSeq and is a predicted model, not a curated record.
AGCGUGUACACAACGUCACCGGAAGUUAGACACUUUGGUAUAAAAGCACUUCCGCGUCCGUUGACGGUCCUUUCCUGUCUACGGCCUAUCGGAAGAUGGCGGUGCAAAUCUCCAAGAAGAGGAAGUUCGUCUCAGACGGUAUCUUCAAGGCCGAGCUGAACGAGUUCCUGACCCGUGAGCUUGCUGAAGAUGGUUACUCCGGCGUGGAGGUGCGUGUGACUCCAACCAGGACCGAGAUCAUCAUCC